This 500-nucleotide ribosomal RNA is filed under the name uncultured bacterium. RNAcentral's name for it is "bacterial SSU rRNA". It matches the Rfam family "Bacterial small subunit ribosomal RNA", at positions 28 to 520 of the family's 1533-position model. The record is from RNAcentral.
GACGAACGCUGGCGGCGUGCCUAACACAUGCAAGUCUUGGGAGAAAGGGAUAGCAAUAUCCUGAGUAAACCGGCGCAAGGGUGAGUAACGCGUAGGCAACCUGCCCUCUGGACGGGAAUAACUUCGAGAAAUCGAGGCUAAUACCCGAUAAUGCAGCGGCAUCGCAUGAUGAUGCUGUUAAAAGCCCGCAAGGGCGCCAAAGGAUGGGCCUGCGUCCCAUUAGGUAGUUGGUGAGGUAACGGCCCACCAAGCCGACGAUGGGUAGCUGGUCUGAGAGGACGAUCAGCCACACUGGAACUGAGACACGGUCCAGACUCCUACGGGAGGCAGCAGUGAGGAAUAUUGCGCAAUGCCCGAAAGGGUGACGCAGCGACGCCGCGUGGAGGAUGAAGGCCCUAUGGGUCGUAAACUCCUUUUGCGGGGGAAGAAUUUGGAGCUACAGGCUCCAUUGACUGUACCCCGAGAAAAAGCAUCAGCUAACUACGUGCCAGCAGCCGCGG